CCGGCUUACCAACCCGAUGCAAACUGCGAAUACCGGAGAAUGUUAUCACGGGAGACACACGGCGGGUGCUAACGUCCGUCGUGAAGAGGGAAACAACCCAGACCGCCAGCUAAGGUCCCAAAGUCAUGGUUAAGUGGGAAACGAUGUGGGAAGGCCCAGACAGCCAGGAUGUUGGCUUAGAAGCAGCCAUCAUUUAAAGAAAGCGUAAUAGCUCACUGGUCGAGUCGGCCUGCGCGGAAGAUGUAACGGGGCUAAACCAUGCACCGAAGCUGCGGCAGCGACACUGUGUGUUGUUGGGUAGGGGAGCGUUCUGUAAGCCUGUGAAGGUGUGUCGUGAGGCAUGCUGGAGGUAUCAGAAGUGCGAAUGCUGACAUAAGUAACGAUAAAGCGGGUGAAAAGCCCGCUCGCCGGAAGACCAAGGGUUCCUGUCCAACGUUAAUCGGGGCAGGGUGAGUCGACCCCUAAGGCGAGGCCGAAAGGCGUAGUCGAUGGGAAACGGGUUAAUAUUCCCGUACUUGGUGUUACUGCGAAGGGGGGACGGAGAAGGCUAUGUUGGCCGGGCGACGGUUGUCCCGGUUUAAGCGUGUAGGUGUGUGUUCCAGGUAAAUCCGGUUCACUUUAACACUGAGGCGUGACGACGAGGCACUACGGUGCUGAAGCAACAAAUGCCCUGCUUCCAGGAAAAGCCUCUAAGCAUCAGGUAACAUCAAAUCGUACCCCAAACCGACACAGGUGGUCAGGUAGAGAAUACCAAGGCGCUUGAGAGAACUCGGGUGAAGGAACUAGGCAAAAUGGUGCCGUAACUUCGGGAGAAGGCACGCUGACACGUAGGUGAAGUGAUUUACUCAUGGAGCUGAAGUCAGUCGAAGAUACCAGCUGGCUGCAACUGUUUAUUAAAAACACAGCACUGUGCAAACACGAAAGUGGACGUAUACGGUGUGACGCCUGCCCGGUGCCGGAAGGUUAAUUGAUGGGGUCAGCGCAAGCGAAGCUCCUGAU
This 999-nucleotide ribosomal RNA is filed under the name Salmonella enterica. Its description in RNAcentral is "partial 23S ribosomal RNA". It matches the Rfam family "Bacterial large subunit ribosomal RNA", at positions 931 to 1912 of the family's 2925-position model. Lineage: Bacteria; Pseudomonadati; Pseudomonadota; Gammaproteobacteria; Enterobacterales; Enterobacteriaceae. The record is from RNAcentral. RNAcentral also lists the same sequence under 1 other name.